GACGAACGCUGGCGGCGUGCUUAACACAUGCAAGUCGAACGGAAAGGCCCUGCUUUUGUGGGGUGCUCGAGUGGCGAACGGGUGAGUAACACGUGUGUAACCUGCCCUUGACUUUGGGAUAACUUCAGGAAACUGGGGCUAAUACCGGAUAGGAGCUCCUGCUGCAUGGUGGGGGUUGGAAAGUUUCGGCGGUUGGGGAUGGACUCGCGGCUUAUCAGCUUGCUGGUGGGGUAGUGGCUUACCAAGGCUUUGACGGGUAGCCGGCCUGAGAGGGUGAACGGGCACAUUGGGACUGAGAGACGGCCCAGACGCGUACGGGAGGCAGCGGUGGGGAGUAUGGCACAAUGAGCGGAAGCCUGAUGCAGCAACGCUGCGUUCGGGAUGACGGCCUGCUGGUAGAGAACCGCAUUCGCCUGUGACGAAGCGGUUGUGACGGUAAUGGAUGAAGAAGCACCGGCUAACUACGUG
This 468-nucleotide ribosomal RNA is filed under the name uncultured bacterium. RNAcentral describes it as "partial 16S ribosomal RNA". It matches the Rfam family "Bacterial small subunit ribosomal RNA", at positions 28 to 507 of the family's 1533-position model. The record is from RNAcentral.